UACAGAGGGUGCAAGCGUUGUUCGGAAUUACUGGGCGUAAAGCGCGUGUAGGCGGCGACAAAAGUCAAAUGUGAAAGCCCUCGGCUCAACCGAGGAAGUGCAUUCGAUACUGUGUUGCUAGAGUGUCGGAGGGGAUGGCGGAAUUCCCAGUGUAGAGGUGAAAUUCGUAGAUAUUGGGAGGAACACCUGUGGCGAAGGCGGCCAUCUGGACGACAACUGACGCUGAGACGCGAAAGCGUGGGUAGCAAACAGG
RNAcentral lists this ribosomal RNA (253 nucleotides) under uncultured bacterium. RNAcentral describes it as "partial 16S ribosomal RNA". It matches the Rfam family "Bacterial small subunit ribosomal RNA", at positions 524 to 776 of the family's 1533-position model. The record is from RNAcentral.